GCUAGUAAUCGCGGAUCAGCAUGCCGCGGUGAAUACGUUCCCGGGCCUUGUACACACCGCCCGUCACACCAUGAGAGUCGGGAACACCCGAAGUCCGUAGCCUAACCAAUCUGGAGGGCGCGGCCGAAGGUGGGUUCGAUAAUUGGGGUGAAGUCGUAACAAGGUAUC
This 168-nucleotide ribosomal RNA is filed under the name uncultured bacterium. RNAcentral describes it as "partial 16S ribosomal RNA". It matches the Rfam family "Bacterial small subunit ribosomal RNA", at positions 1334 to 1500 of the family's 1533-position model. The record is from RNAcentral.